This 479-nucleotide ribosomal RNA is filed under the name uncultured bacterium. RNAcentral's name for it is "partial 16S ribosomal RNA". It matches the Rfam family "Bacterial small subunit ribosomal RNA", at positions 28 to 507 of the family's 1533-position model. The record is from RNAcentral.
GAUGAACGCUGGCGGGAGGCCUAACACAUGCCAGCCGAGCGGUAUUUGUUCUUCGGAACAGAGAGAGCGGCGCACGGGUGCGGAACACGUGUGCAACCUGCCUUUAUCUGGGGGAUAGCCUUUCGAAAGGAAGAUUAAUACCCCAUAAUAUAUUGAGUGGCAUCAUUUGAUAUUGAAAACUCCGGUGGAUAGAGAUGGGCACGCGCAAGAUUAGAUAGUUGGUGAGGUAACGGCUCACCAAGUCAAUGAUCUUUAGGGGGCCUGAGAGGGUGAUCCCCCACACUGGUACUGAGACACGGACCAGACUCCUACGGGAGGCAGCAGUGAGGAAUAUUGGACAAUGGGUUAGCGCCUGAUCCAGCCAUUCCGCGUGAAGGACGACGGCCCUAUGGGUUGUAAACUUCUUUUGUAUAGGGAUAAACCUACUCUCGUGAGAGUAGCUGAAGGUACUAUACGAAUAAGCACCGGCUAACUCCGUG